RNAcentral lists this ribosomal RNA (254 nucleotides) under uncultured bacterium. Its description in RNAcentral is "partial 16S ribosomal RNA". It matches the Rfam family "Bacterial small subunit ribosomal RNA", at positions 524 to 776 of the family's 1533-position model. The record is from RNAcentral.
UACGUAGGCAGCGAGCGUUGUUCGGAGUUACUGGGCGUAAAGGGUGUGUAGGCGGUUGUUUAAGUUUGGUGUGAAAUCUCCCGGCUCAACUGGGAGGGUGCGCCGAAUACUGAAUGACUUGGAGUGCGGGAGAGGUGAGUGGAAUUCCUGGUGUAGCGGUGAAAUGCGUAGAUAUCAGGAGGAACACCGGUGGUGUAGACGGCUCACUGGACCGUAACUGACGCUGAGACACGAAAGCGUGGGUAGCAAACAGG